CAGAGGAAUUAAGAACACGGCCCUUCACUACAUUGUACAAGUAUUUUUUGAGAUUCCAAAUCCACUUAUCUGUAAAGUUCUUAUAAAUAGAAUGUGUUUCAACAAAUGUUGACCGUUGGGUUAGGUAUAUAAGCUAUAUGCAUAUAGCUUACUCUCCUUUGUUUUCUUUCAACAUGUAGAAGGAAAUCAUUAUGUGUUUGUUGACACAUUAAAAAAAAUAAGCUAUAUAUUAAUAGGAAGUCCCCAUGUUGCCUUUUGGUACCGUUGAUUAUUCCCUCCAUCACCUCUACUCCUCUGGCUUCUGCAGCAUCAUUAAUUUCCAGCUUCUCCUCCUCCCUCUCUUUCUCCUUUGUGGGUUCCUCAGUCUCCUGCCCCCACAUCAGUGGUAAGUGUGUCCUCAGGGAUGUGCUUCUACCCUGAAGUUCUUCUCAUUCUAAAGAACCCCCAUGGUGUCAGACUUGACCUCUGCACACAUGACACUCAGAUCGGUCUCUGGGUCAUUCCUUUCCUUUGAGCUUCAGGUUCCCUCGCUCCAGCUAGCCGAGGGGCAGCUCUGCCUAGAUGCCCCUCAGCUUUGUCAGGUUUAGAAUGUUCCGAUGUGAACUCAUCAUUUUCCUCUUGCCUGUCUUUUCUCCUGUUCGCUCUAAGUAAUCAAUAGCACCUUAUCUACUCGGUCACCUUAGUUGAAACCUGCGAGUCAUCCCCCUGACUGCUUCUUCUAGUUCAUUCUCUAUAUCUGAUUAGACUCUAGUUUUGCCAUUCUUCAUUUUCCUGCCUAUUCCAUAACUAUGUCCCUUUGUCUCCAUCAUUAUUGUAAGCACUUUAAGAGCUUACAGCCCAGUCAGACACAAACAUUUUCUAGAGUUAGUGCCCAGUAAAUGUUGAAUGACUGAGAGAGAGGUGACCUAAUUGCUGCCUCUUGAAAGGUGGGUGUCCAUGAGUAGUUAGAUUCGGAGCAGAAUUUAAAGAAGGAUAUGGUGCCGUUGUGACAUAUGGGAUGUGGGAGGCCAUAUCAGGCAUAGGGUUGGGACCUGAUUUUCCUAACUGGAGAGCCACGGGGAGAGGGGCUGGCUGGGGAUUUGGCCAGUGGAGCCCUUUGAAACCGUCAGUCAAGGAAUAGUAGGGUAUGACUUAGCAGGAAGGUGAGCUGAGUAAAUUUGUGUGGAAAUGUACAUAUUUUAAUAUCUCAGUAAGGUUACAGUCUCUGUUUCUGUUUUUCUGGGAUUAUUAGCCUUGAGAUUUCUGUGAUAUCUCAUUACUUAAUUCUUGGUUUCUUCCUGCUUCUCUUACUUCCUAAGAAAUGUGCUGCUGCUCUCCCCCCCCC
Long non-coding RNA from Orcinus orca (killer whale), 1324 nucleotides. RefSeq lists it as uncharacterized. The transcript has 2 exons. The record is from RefSeq and is a predicted model, not a curated record. Lineage: Eukaryota; Metazoa; Chordata; Mammalia; Artiodactyla; Delphinidae.